This 460-nucleotide ribosomal RNA is filed under the name uncultured bacterium. RNAcentral's name for it is "partial 16S ribosomal RNA". It matches the Rfam family "Bacterial small subunit ribosomal RNA", at positions 338 to 795 of the family's 1533-position model. The record is from RNAcentral.
CCUACGGUAGGCAGCAGUGAGGAAUAUUGGUCAAUGGACGAGAGUCUGAACCAGCCAAGUAGCGUGAGGGAGGACGGCCCUACGGGUUGUAAACCUCUUUUGCCGGGGAGCAACGGGCGUCACGUGUGGCGCCACUGAGAGUACCCGGAGAAAAAGCAUCGGCUAACUCCGUGCCAACAGCCGCGGUAAUACGGAGGAUGCGAGCGUUAUCCGGAUUUAUUGGGUUAAAAGGGUGCGUAGGCGGAUCGUUAAGUCAGUGGUCAAAUUGAGGGGCUCAACCCCUGCCCGCCAUUGAAACUGGCGUUCUUGAGUGGAAGAGAAGUAUGCGGAAUGCGUGGUGUAGCGGUGAAAUGCAUAGAUAUCACGCAGAACCCCGAUUGCGAAGGCAGCAUGCCGGCUUCCGACUGACGCUGAAGCACGAAAGCGUGGGGAUCGAACAGGAUUAGAUACCCCAGUAGUC